Molecule: unclassified non-coding RNA, 857 nt
Filed under: Hevea brasiliensis (rubber tree)
Lineage: Eukaryota; Viridiplantae; Streptophyta; Magnoliopsida; Malpighiales; Euphorbiaceae
Source: RNAcentral
UGGCUUGUAUACCAUCUCCAUUAGGGGAUCCAUUAGAACCAUUGGACAACCACCUGCUCUCUCGAUCUACUUGUCUCUUGUAUUCUUGCAUCUUUUCAUUAAGAGCUGCUUUCUCAUAGUUGGAGCGUUCUCGAGACUGCUGUGCGUAAGUCAGGACCUGAUUGAUAUAUGGCUCCAUCUGAUGCAAAAGCUCAUACCCCUGUUUGAAAUAACGAAGAUGAGCAUCCAUUGUACCACUAACUGCUUCCAGGAAUUCAAACCGUUUCUUUGCUUCCACAUUAGAAAGAGCGGUUACCAAACUGAAUCGAGCUUGCUCAAAAGUUGAUCUUGCAUUAUGAAGUUCCUCCUCCAGUACACUGGCAACAUCACUUUUUGUGCCUUUUCUUAGUGACAAAAACUUCUCGCGGGCCUGAUCAUAAAUUAGGCUUGCCUUGUCAAAGCGCUUCCGAGCUUCCUUGACAUCUUGCAGAUCUAUGUUAACAAACUGCAGUAAACGAUCAUUCAGCAUGUGCUCAACCUGUGACCGAAGAACUUCCUUAUAAGUCCCGAUUUCCCUCAGUGCAAUAGUAAAUUUAGUCAUUACAGGGCCUCCAAAUGCAACACUGAUGGGAUCAUUGUGCCCCCCACCAAAUGUUUCCAGGGCGCUCGCGAAAGCAAUAUCUCCAUCAUAUCCCUCUCCAAGUCCCUCCGUAUAUUUUCGACAUCCUUUAUAAAAUUUCAAGCUUCUUUCUCUUAGUGAUUCAGCACUUUCUUCAAAACAUUGCAGCUGUUUACGGAACAUGGGAGAGUCAUCGAGUUUACCAAAAUGCAUGUUUACACAACUGAUUCUUCUUUUCUACACCAAUUCUCAAUUAACA